RNAcentral lists this ribosomal RNA (430 nucleotides) under Pseudomonadota bacterium. RNAcentral describes it as "Proteobacteria bacterium partial 16S ribosomal RNA". It matches the Rfam family "Bacterial small subunit ribosomal RNA", at positions 355 to 776 of the family's 1533-position model. The record is from RNAcentral. Lineage: Bacteria; Pseudomonadati; Pseudomonadota.
UGGGGAAUAUUGGACAAUGGGGGGAACCCUGAUCCAGCCAUGCCGCGUGUGUGAAGAAGGCCUUAUGGUUGUAAAGCACUUUAAGCGAGGAGGAGGGUACUGGUAUUAAUACUACCAGGUACUGGACGUUACUCGCAGAAUAAGCACCGGCUAACUCUGUGCCAGCAGCCGCGGUAAUACAGAGGGUGCGAGCGUUAAUCGGAUUUACUGGGCGUAAAGCGUGCGUAGGCGGCUAAUUGAGUCGGAUGUGAAAUCCCCGAGCUUAACUUGGGAAUUGCAUCCGAUACUGGUUAGCUAGAGUGUGGGAGAGGAUGGUAGAAUUCCAGGUGUAGCGGUGAAAUGCGUAGAGAUCUGGAGGAAUACCGAUGGCGAAGGCAGCCAUCUGGCCUAACACUGACGCUGAGGUACGAAAGCAUGGGGAGCAAACAGG